RNA transcript from Medicago truncatula (barrel medic), 2911 nucleotides. RefSeq lists it as uncharacterized. NCBI's taxonomy places the organism in Eukaryota, Viridiplantae, Streptophyta, Magnoliopsida, Fabales, Fabaceae. The transcript has 5 exons. The record is from RefSeq and is a predicted model, not a curated record.
AAUUCCAAUUGAUAAUUGAUGAAAACGUAAUAUUUUGUAGAGAAAAAGAAAAAAAACAGCAACUACGUUGUCGUCGGGAGAUAGCAACAGUUUCAGAGAAAUUGAGCUCUUUCAUUGGCGACGGACAUUCUCCAUUCUGUCGUUUAGGCCAUGGCUGCUACAGCUACAAAGAAAGUUAUAGCUAUAUGUCAAUCAAGAGGUGAAUUUGUAACCAAUAUAGAUGGAUCAAUGUCUUACAAUGGUGGUGAUGCUUAUGCAAUUGACAUUGAUCAGGAGACAAGUUUGUCUGAUUUUAAGUCUGAAAUUGCCGAAACAUUUAACUGCAAUGUAAGCACCAUGAACAUCAAGUACUUCCUUCCUGGAAACAAGAAAACACUCAUUACAGUGUCAAAAGACAAGGAUUUACAGCGAAUGGUUAGUUUUCUUGGAGAUGCUAGCACUGUUGAUGUGUUUGUUAUAAAUGAGGAAGUGGUGGCUCGGAACACAUCCAACAUGCCUGCUAGUAGGUCAAGCAGAACAACUGUGUCAGAAGCUGUUGUUCCUGUUGUUAUCCCUAUUAAUGUAGCAGCCAUUGAUGCUGAGCAAUGCAUUGAUCAAGUUGAAGUGGAUGUAGCUAAUGAAGCCCCUGCACAAUCUCUUUGUUCUGGGGCCAAUGAUGACAAGCGUCAAAGAGCGGCACAGCAGUGGGAAAAUACUAUCACUGGUGUAGACCAAAGGUUUAAUAGUUUUAGUGAAUUCCGAGAGGCAUUGCAUAAAUACUCCAUUGCUCAUGGUUUUGCGUACAGAUAUAAAAAAAAUGAUAGUCAUCGUGUCACGGUCAAAUGUAAAUCUCAAGGCUGUCCCUGGAGAAUAUAUGCGUCUAAGUUGUCAACCACUCAGUUGAUUUGCAUCAAGAAAAUGACCAGAGAUCAUACUUGUGAAGGAUCUGCUGUCAAAGCUGGGUAUCGAGCAACUAGAGGCUGGGUGGGAAAUAUUAUAAAAGAGAAAUUGAAAGCUUCACCCAAUUACAGGCCAAAGGAUAUCGCAGACGACAUAAAGCGCGAGUAUGGGAUUCAGUUAAAUUAUUCUCAAGCAUGGCGUGCAAAAGAAAUUGCUAGAGAGCAACUCCAAGGCUCUUAUAAGGAGGCAUAUACUCAAUUGCCAUUCUUUUGCGAGAAGAUAAAAGAGACUAACCCGGGGAGUUUUGCAACAUUCACGACAAAAGAGGACUCAAGUUUCCAUCGUCUUUUUGUAUCAUUUCAUGCCUCAAUAACUGGUUUCCGGCAAGCCUGUCGCCCUCUCAUUUUCCUCGACAGUAUUCUUUUAAACUCAAAGUAUCAAGGGGAAUUAUUGGCUGCAACUUCUGUCGAUGGAAAUGAUGGCAUUUUUCCCGUAGCCUUUGCUGUUGUAGAUGCCGAAACUGAAGACAACUGGCAUUGGUUUCUUCAGGAGCUGAAAUCAGCUUUAUCGACAUCUGAACAGAUUACAUUUGUUGCAGAUUUUCAGAAUGGGUUAAAAAAAUCACUGUCUGAGAUAUUUGAAAACUGCUACCACGGCUAUUGUUUACGUCACCUUGCUGACAAACUGAACAAGGACUUAAAGGGACAAUUAUCUCAUGAGGCCAGACGUUUCAUGGUUAAUGAUUUUUAUGCUGCUGCUUACGCAUCCAAACUGGAGAUUUUUGAACGUAGUAUUGAGAAUAUAAAAGGUAUUUCUCCUGAAGCAUACAACUGGGUCAUACAAAGUGAGCCAGAGCACUGGUCCAAUGCAUUCUUCAAUGGAGCUAGGUAUAAUCUUAUGACAUCGAAUUUUGGGCAGCAAUUUUAUAGUUGGGUGUCAGAGGCGAACGAGUUGCCAAUCACUCAAAUGAUUGAUGUAUUACGAGGUAACAUGAUGGAAACAAUUAGCACACGACGAGAAAAGUCUAAUCAAUGGAUAACAAAAUUGACACCAUCCAAAGAGGAAAUUAUCCAAAAGGAAACAUCAGACGCUCGCUCGCUACAAGUGUUGCUUUCACAAGGUACCACAUUUGAAGUCUGUGGACAAUCUGUUGAAAUUGUUGAUAUUGAUAAUUGGGAUUGUAGCUGCAAGGGAUGGAAACUUACUGGCCUUCCUUGCUGCCAUGCUAUUGCUGUCUUUGAAUGUGUUGGCAGGGACCUAUAUGAUUAUUGUUCCAGAUACUUGACAGUUGAUAAUUACAGAUUAACAUAUACAGAACCAAUUCACGCUCUGCCGGAUAUUGACAAACCAGUCCAGGUUGAAUCGGCUAUGGAAGUUGUUACUGUAACCCCUCCACCAACUAAGCGCCCUCCUGGUCGGCCAAAAUCAAAGCAGGUUGAAUCGAUAGACCUAAUUAAACGUCAGCUUCAAUGUGGUAAAUGCAAGGGACUUGGCCACAAUCGGAAGACAUGCAAACUUUCAUAGUUUUGCUUCAUAGUGUUUGACAGUGAUAUGCGUCGUAACUAGACACGCCUUCGAUCUGAAGUGUUAGUGCUACAUAGUUAGUUACAUGGGCCAUCCAUUUGAACUCAAGGAAUCUUCAAUGAAGCAAGAUGCAAAUAUUUGAGCUAUUUCCAACCAUGAUAGAGAAUGGCUAUGGAGAAACGUUUUAGUGGUUGUAUGGAUAUUUUGUUUAAGUAGUCUCCAAAUUCACGUGCUUCCAACUUAGAGAUUAGUUAGCUUUUCUUUUCUUGUUUUACUCUAUCAGUUAGUUAUUGUUAUCCGGUAGAGAACAAAUCACUUCAUCUGGCAAACUAGAUCUGUUUUUGUGUUUAGAUAGAUUCUGUGUGUAGGCUUAUGUUGCCAUUUUCUAGUUAUUUAAAUUUAUUGAUUGGAUCACUGCGGUUCGAAUGAUAUAUAUUUUAGAGAUAUUUCAUGAUGAUAUAAGAAUAGUUUCUCCUGGUUGGAGGCAGCAGAUGUAGCUUUUGUUUAA